UAACCAGAAUAAAUUCUCUUUCUGCCUU
This 28-nucleotide non-coding RNA is filed under the name Rattus norvegicus (Norway rat). Lineage: Eukaryota; Metazoa; Chordata; Mammalia; Rodentia; Muridae. The record is from RNAcentral.